Molecule: long non-coding RNA, 308 nt
Organism: Triticum dicoccoides
Lineage: Eukaryota; Viridiplantae; Streptophyta; Magnoliopsida; Poales; Poaceae
Exons: 2
Source: RefSeq, a predicted model, not a curated record
UAGGUUAUUCUUUGAGGUCUCCUAAUCUUCUACAACCUCGGCAGUGGUGGCUGCCUCUUCUUGGUUUAGGAGUGGAAGUCGCAGGCUGAGGGAAGGGAAGUUUAUACUCCACAUGGGAAGGAAAGGAGGUGACAGACCCAAGUGUUGUUUGCUUGCGCGGUAGUUGCAACAAACAUGCCCCAAGUGUUGUUCCUUCAAGACUUUUUGUUGCUGUGGACACAUGUGUUUGUUAUGGUUGGUUUAUGAUGAGUCACAAAAAAAACUUGGGUUGUUGAUGUGUCUGUGAAACAAUCAAUUUCUUUUUGUUU